Pangasianodon hypophthalmus (striped catfish) is the source of this 350-nucleotide long non-coding RNA. RefSeq lists it as uncharacterized. NCBI's taxonomy places the organism in Eukaryota, Metazoa, Chordata, Actinopteri, Siluriformes, Pangasiidae. The transcript has 3 exons. The record is from RefSeq and is a predicted model, not a curated record.
AGCCUCUCACUGCAAGUGUUUGUUUGUGUGUGUGUGUGUGUGUGUGUGUGUGUUUCUUAUUUUCCCUUUAUGUAAUUAAGACCCAUUCCAGCUCUCUGUAAUGUCUCUGCACUUCUCCUUAACCUGAAAAGCAAAAGUGUAAUUUAGCCAAGAGCACAGGGAUGGAAGCACUCGACUCUUCUCUCAUCUCUUCUUCAUCCUCUUCGCAUUUCUCUUUCUGUGGACAGACAAUCAGAGAGUAAAGAGCAGCUGGAACAUCACAAUAAUUAACUGCGGGGAAUGUGGUAUAAACACACAGAACGCUCCGGCACCAGAUGGUUCGGGGUAAUCGCGGUGACAACGCAGUUCCA